CAGUCGCCGCGGUAAUGCGGAGGGUGCGAGCGUUAAUCGGAAUAACUGGGCGUAAAGGGCACGCAGGCGGUGACUUAAGUGAGGUGUGAAAGCCCCGGGCUUAACCUGGGAAUUGCAUUUCAUACUGGGUCGCUAGAGUACUUUAGGGAGGGGUAGAAUUCCACGUGUAGCGGUGAAAUGCGUAGAGAUGUGGAGGAAUACCGAAGGCGAAGGCAGCCCCUUGGGAAUGUACUGACGCUCAUGUGCGAAAGCGUGGGGAGCAAACAGGAUUAGAUACCCCCGUAGUCCCUGUCUCUUAUAC
RNAcentral lists this ribosomal RNA (301 nucleotides) under uncultured bacterium. RNAcentral's name for it is "partial 16S ribosomal RNA". It matches the Rfam family "Bacterial small subunit ribosomal RNA", at positions 509 to 807 of the family's 1533-position model. The record is from RNAcentral.